CCUACGGGGUGCAGCAGUGAGGAAUAUUGGUCAAUGGGCGAGAGCCUGAUCCAGCCACGCAGCGUGAAGGAUGACUGCCCUACGGGUUGUAAACUUUUUUUAUAAAGGAAUAAAGUGCGGCACGUGUGCCUGUUUGUAUGUACUUUAUGAAUAAGGAACGGCUAACUCCGUGCAAGCAGCCGCGGUAAUACGGAGGAUCCGAGCGUUAUCCGGAUUUAUUGGGUUUAAAGGGAGCGUAGUUGGGUUGUUAAGUCAGUUGUGAAAGUUUGCGGCUCAACUGUAAAAUUGCAAUUGAUACUGGCAGCCUUGAGUACAGUUGAGGUAGGCGGAAUUCGUGGUGUAGCGGUGAAAUGCGUAGAUAUCACGAAGAACUCCGAUGGCGAAGGCAGCUUACUAAACUGCCACUGACAUUGAGGCUCGAAAGUGUGGGUAUCAAACAGGAUUAGAUACCCUUGUAGUC
RNAcentral lists this ribosomal RNA (460 nucleotides) under uncultured bacterium. RNAcentral describes it as "partial 16S ribosomal RNA". It matches the Rfam family "Bacterial small subunit ribosomal RNA", at positions 338 to 795 of the family's 1533-position model. The record is from RNAcentral.